This 482-nucleotide ribosomal RNA is filed under the name uncultured bacterium. Its description in RNAcentral is "partial 16S ribosomal RNA". It matches the Rfam family "Bacterial small subunit ribosomal RNA", at positions 28 to 523 of the family's 1533-position model. The record is from RNAcentral.
GACGAACGCUGGCGGCGUGCUUAACACAUGCAAGUCGAACGGUGAAGUAGAGCUUGCUCUAUGGAUCAGUGGCGAACGGGUGAGUAACACGUGGGCAACCUGCCCCAGACUCUGGGAUAACUCCUCGAAAGAGGGGCUAAUACCGGAUAUUUGCAUUGCAAGACAUCUUGUGAUGCAGAAAGAAUUUCGGUCUGGGAUGGGCCCGCGGCCUAUCAGCGUGUUGGUGAGGUAACGGCUCACCAAGGCGACGACGGGUAGCCGGCCUGAGAGGGCGACCGGCCACACUGGGACUGAGACACGGCCCAGACUCCUACGGGAGGCGGCAGUGGGGAAUAUUGGGCAAUGGGCGCAAGCCUGACCCAGCAACGCCGCGUGAGGGAUGAAGGUCCUCGGAUUGUAAACCUCUUUCAGCAGGGACGAAGCGAAAGUGACGGUACCUGCAGAAGAAGCACCGGCUAACUACGUGCCAGCCGCCGCGGUAA